This 748-nucleotide ribosomal RNA is filed under the name uncultured archaeon. RNAcentral's name for it is "bacterial SSU rRNA". It matches the Rfam family "Archaeal small subunit ribosomal RNA", at positions 1 to 749 of the family's 1478-position model. The record is from RNAcentral.
GCCCUUUUCCGGUUGAUCCUGCCGGAGGCUAUUGCUAUCGGUGUCCGAUUUAGCCAUGCGAGUUGCACGUUUAACGUAGCAAACUGCUCAGUAACACGUGGCCAAACUGCCCUAUGGACUGGGAUAACCUCGGGAAACUGAGGCUAAUCCCGGAUAGCACAUCCGUCUUGGAACUGGAGGAUGUGUGAAACGUUCCGGCGCCAUAGGAUGUGGCUGCGGCCGAUUAGGUAGACGGUGGGGUAACGGCCCACCGUGCCGAUAAUCGGUACGGGUCAUGAGAGUGAGAGCCCGGAGACGGACUCUGAGACACGAGUCCGGGCCCUACGGGGCGCAGCAGGCGCGAAACCUUUACACUGCACGAUAGUGCGAUAGGGGGACACCGAGUGCGAGGGCAUAGAGCCCUCGCUUUUGUAGACCGUAAGGAGGUCUACGAAUAAGGGCUGGGCAAGACCGGUGCCAGCCGCCGCGGUAACACCGGCAGCCCGAGUGAUGGCCGAUAUUAUUGGGCCUAAAGCGUCCGUAGCUGGCCGCGCAAGUUCGUCGGGAAAUCCACUCGCUUAACGAGUGGGCGUCCGGCGAAAACUGUGCGGCUUGGGACCGGAAGAUCCAAGGGGUACGUCCGGGGUAGGAGUGAAAUCCCGUAAUCCUGGACGGACCACCGAUGGCGAAAGCACCUUGGAAGGACGGAUCCGACAGUGAGGGACGAAAGCUAGGGUCUCGAACCGGAUUAGAUACCCGGGUAGUCCUA